Molecule: non-coding RNA, 1166 nt
Organism: Pelobates cultripes (western spadefoot toad)
Lineage: Eukaryota; Metazoa; Chordata; Amphibia; Anura; Pelobatidae
Source: the annotation of a GenBank genome assembly
CGGUACGCCCCAAAACCAUUGGGUUGGCAUAGGUUGAUGACUGGGUGAUAGUCUCCUAUCUUCUUCCUUACUACCAAACCGUUGCUGAGAUAAAUGGUUCUCCAAACGAUAGUCCGUCUGCCUGAGGUCCUCGCUCUUUCGUCCCUAACUUCAAUAGUUUGAAAUCCAUCUUUAAUCGGGCUGCUUUGCGGCAUUCUGUGCACCUGUCUGCCUUGCGUUCCCCAACUUACAUAUUGCCCUUUGCACCCAUUCCCUCACAUCGUGAGCUUCUAUAGGUGAGUCUUGUGUGGGGUCAGGUCCGCAAAGUAUAGAAUUUUUUCCCGGGCUGAUCAUAUCCAGUAUUUAACUCAUUUUGAGUCCUCCUCCUACACACUGAUCGGGACAUACAUAUCACCACGAGCUCCAUAGUGAGGACUAUCUUGUUCGGACAUAGAGGGCGUGGGCAUUCCAUCCUGAGCCGGUCUCGGAUUUCUUUUCCCAUAGGCCUCCUAAGCCAGAAGUGGGCCCGGUGCUCCAGUUAACCCCAUUCGGAUGACCCUGGUUGUCGGAUGGUGCGUGAGUCAAAACAGGAGUGUCCAGUGUGCCAAAGAAAAAACCUUUCUUGCUAGGAGUGUCUUGUCACUUUUACCUCUUCUGCCCUCCAUAAUUUCAUGAUCUCCAGAGAAGGGGGGGGGGAGGAUGAAGUCCUCGUCCCCUGAUGAUGGGUGUCCGACCUAACGUCGGUAUCUCAAUCUUCCAUUGGUGUUGCUGCCGUUGCACCCGCUCUGUCGGAUGGGUUGUUAGCCAGCAUACUGGAGAGGACUUCUUCCCCCGGAGCUGUCAUGGCAGCCUUAAUCCUCGCCUGAAAAUCGGUCGGAGAUAUUGAGGUAAGUCCGACAUGUUGGUUCACACCCUUUCGGUCCGUGGGAGACAGGAUCGUACAACAGUACACUUAUUGCCACUCAGUAGGCCUCCGCGUAUAACUGGGGGUCACCCAGAAUUUUGAUCAAUCAGUAUCAUUUUCGCAGGAUCCGGGGAGUGGUCUGAGAAUGAGGACACCCUCAGUAAGACCGGGAUGAGCGGUCUGCAAUGUCGGGACGUAGCCCAAGUCUGGGAGACGUGAAAGCCUCAAUAUAUAUAGUCCACGGGGUUCAUCCUUAUAUGGUCUAGAAUUGUGGGGUUUUGGC